UUAUGUUCUUAUUUCUUUUUUGUUUCCUGAAGUUAUACGGAUUUGAAGGAAGAAAAGGCUCCAUUUUGCACGAUGAUCUAUGGAGUGUAGUAGUGUGAUGAAGCCAACUCUUGGUGAAUUGAACAUUCUAUGGCUGAUUAUUAGUGCCAUACAUUUGGGUAUAUAAUAGUUAUGAUAAUAGAUAAUCAGGACUCAGGAGUGGACUAAUGACACCAGUCAAUGAAUUUGACACCGUCAGGGGCGGAUCUACACCCAGCUCGGGGGUUCCUGGGAACCCGUUCGGUUCAUACUUUAUAGUGUUAACUUAUUUAAGAAAUUCUGGAGGAAUCCUAUAAAAUUUUGUGAGGGAACCUUAUAAACAAAUGUGAAGAUGGUGCACUGGUAAAUGUCCGUGUUUAUUAAGUAUGAGGUCAUAUGUUCGAGUCUGA
RNAcentral lists this long non-coding RNA (428 nucleotides) under Helianthus annuus (common sunflower). RNAcentral describes it as "sRNA HanXRQr2_Chr13g0578871". Lineage: Eukaryota; Viridiplantae; Streptophyta; Magnoliopsida; Asterales; Asteraceae. The record is from RNAcentral.